UCCUUCUCCUUAUCCUUCUCCUUCUCCUUCUCCUUCUCCUUCUCCUUCUCCUUCUCCUUCUCCUUCUCCUUCUCCUUCUCCUUCUCCUUCUCCUUCUCCUUCUCCUUCUCCUUCUCCUUCUCCUUCUCCUUCUCCUUCUCCUUCUCCUUCUCCUUCUCCUUCUCCUUCUCCUUCUCCUUCUCCUUCUUCUUCUUCUUCUUUUUCUUCUUCUUC
This 213-nucleotide long non-coding RNA is filed under the name Solanum tuberosum (potato). RNAcentral's name for it is "long non-coding RNA (STUB_LNC007253)". Lineage: Eukaryota; Viridiplantae; Streptophyta; Magnoliopsida; Solanales; Solanaceae. The record is from RNAcentral.